CCAGCUUUGUUCUCUGGGAGAGUUUUGCUCAGUAUGGUGCUCUUUUUCCUUCUUCAUCUGAUGUCCUUCCUCCAGGUGUUCCGGUUUGCUGCAUUAUCUGUGGACCCUCUGCCAGUCCCCACGCUCUCCACGGACCCCAGUUAUCAGCUGCCUGGCUCCAGCUCACAGCUGCAAAAGCGUCCAGUGGAGAGUACACUUGCAUGUACUGGGUGGAGGAUUCUGGACAAGAAAUCUCUUCCAAUAGGAGCCUUCCUCUUUCAGUUAAGGUGCAGGAUGCUCCCAUGGCUCCAAUUUUGUCCCUGGAUCCUCAGCAACAGGUCUACAUAUCUGGGGACUAUGUCAAGCUGCUCUGCUCUGUCCCCUCAUCUCCAGACUAUGUUAGAGAAAUCCAGUACUACGGGGACUUUGGACUUGCAAUCUCUAUCCCAGUAUCAAACAUUAAAAACUACAGUUACAAUCUCAAGAUCACAGGAGAGGAGGUCUCUGGGUCUUACAGUUGUGCCUAUUUUGUAUUUUGGUCUAGACGUGCUGUUCGCUCAGAGAAGAGUCGCUGGGUCCAUGUCUAUGUGA
Molecule: long non-coding RNA, 570 nt
Filed under: Apteryx rowi (Okarito brown kiwi)
Lineage: Eukaryota; Metazoa; Chordata; Aves; Apterygiformes; Apterygidae
Description: lncRNA (ENSARWG00000001134.1)
Source: RNAcentral